AUGGCCGGCGCGGCGCCCCACGUCAUGGUGCUGCCAUUCCCGGCGCAGGGCCACGUCACCCCGCUCAUGGAGCUGUCGCACCGCCUCGUCGACCACGGCCUCCAGGUCACCUUCGUCUGCACCGAGCCCAUCCGCAAGCUCCUGCUCGACGCCCUCGCCCACGGCGGGGAGGCGCUGGACGGCAUCCGCCUCGUCUUCGUACCGGACGGCCUGGCCGACGGCGACAGCCACAGGGACCUGGGCAAGGUCCUGGCCGGGGUCUUGGGACGCGUGCCGGGCUACGUGGAGGAGCUCAUCAGGGCGACGGGGGCGUCCGGGGAAAAGAAGGUGCAGUGGCCCGUCGCCGAGGCGACCAUGGCGUGCUGCUUCCAGGUCGCAAGGAAUCUCGGCGUCCGGGUCGCUUCAGUCUGCCCGUCGUCCGCGGCGUGCCUUGUCACCUCGCUCAGGAUUCCCCAGCUUAGGCUAAUCAUAGUGGAGAAUAACUUAGACUAG
RNAcentral lists this ribosomal RNA (492 nucleotides) under Triticum aestivum (bread wheat). RNAcentral describes it as "partial small subunit ribosomal RNA". The record is from RNAcentral. Lineage: Eukaryota; Viridiplantae; Streptophyta; Magnoliopsida; Poales; Poaceae.